GGGUUAAUAUACAUAUGAAGAAGUGUGCCAUGCGUUCCAAUCUUACAUGUACAGCUCAGUGACAUUUUUACAAAUUUAACUACUACCCUAUCCAAUACCUAGAACAUUUCCAACACCCUGGGAAGUCUCCUGUGUCCUCUUCCCAGAUAGUACCACCCCUGCCCCCAGAGGUCACGAUUCUUUUGACUUCUAUCACCAUUGGUUAGUUUUGCCUGUUCUUAAAUAUCACAGAAAGGGGAUCUAGUCUUUCACUCAGUCUAGUGUCUGCAAUAUUGAAUCAUACUGUUGUAUGCAUCUGUAUAGACUGUGUAUUCUCAUUGCUGUAUAGCAUCCAUAAUAUGGAUAUACUACAAUUUGUCUAACAUCCUGUUGGUAUUUGGGUUGUUUCCAGUUUGGGGCUGUUGCGAAUAGUCCUGCGAUGAACACUCCCUAGCACAAGUGUUUAAAUUUUUUUUUUUUUGACAUUUAUUUAUUUUUGAGAGACGGAGAGAGGCAGAGUAUGAGCAGGGGAGGGGCAGAGAGAGAGGGAGACACAGAAUCCAAAGCAGGCUCCAGGCUCUGAGCUGUCAACACAGAGCCCGACGUGGGGCCCGAACUCACAAACUGUGAGAUCAUGACCUGAGCUGAAGUCGGAUGCUUAAUCGACUGAGCCACCCAGACACCCCCCCAGCACAAGUGUUUAGGUGUCCACGGGCACUCAUUUCUGUUGGGCAUAUGCCCAGGAGUAGAAUUCCUGGGUCACAGAGUACGCAUGUAUUCAGCUUUCGUGGACACGACUGAACAGUUUUCCUAAGUGGUUGAACCAUACUGCAUUCCCACCGGGAGCCAAGUGGUACAAAUCCACCUCAAGCUAGCUCAGUCAAAAAGCGUACAGGUUCCCACAACCAAACCAUGGGUCGAGGGAGGGUGCCAUUACUUCAGGGUAGAGGAGGCCCUGCCAGGCUCUCUCUCUGUCUCUGGGCCUGCCAACACCUUUCUCUCUGACUCAAGACUGACUUCCUCCAUGUGUCACCCUGGCCUUACACUUCACAGCCCCACUGAUUGGCCCGAGCUGGAUUCUGUAUCAACCCCUGGGGGCCUGUAAUUGGCAGCCCCCGUUGGAUCCACAGGGAUGGAGGAGGGGAAGAGCAGUUCUCCCUAAAGAUAGGCACGGUGUCCCCAGACUGCAAGGGAGCGAUGUGCUGCAGGGACAGCGGGUCAGGUGCUGGAUUCCAUUCCCAGCUCUGCAGCAUCUCCUCCUAGCCAUAUGACCCUGGGCAGUUGCUGCAGACUGAAUGUUAAUGUCCCCCCAGGUAGGCUGAAGCCUAAUCCCCAAUGUGAUCGUAUUUGGAGGUGGGGCUUUGGAGAGGUGAUGAUGUCAUAAGGGCAGAAUCUUCAUGAAUGGGGAUAGUGCCUUAUAAAAGAGACCCAGAGAACUUCCUCACCCCUUCCACCGUGGGAGGACACGGCGAGAAGGCCAUCUGAACCAGGAAGCAGGCUCUCCCCAGAACCCAAAUCAGCUGGUUCUUUGAUCUGGGACUUUCCAGCCUCCAGAACUCCCAUUAAGGACUUUUCCAGCCCCAAUUUUGCCACGCAACGGUUUCUGCAAUGCCUGGAAACAAGGAACGUGUGCUUUGAGAGUCUCCCUUUAAGGCAGUAACAGGCUAACAACAGAGACUUAAGAAAUGCUUCCUAGCAAUCAAAAUGCAUUAUGUCUAAAAGUGUCCCAUCAGAGGGAAACCAGUGCCCGGUCCAUAUCCCCAGAGCAAGACUGUGCUGUCCUGGAGUAGAUGCAAGAAGGAAGCAUCUCGUACACCGAGUGCGGCAGGUGCAAGUGUUUGAGGCUGUCGGUUGCUCUUCCUGACACCUGCAGAGUCCAUCGCUGCAAUUCAGAGCCAGGUGCUUGAAAAACCGGGCCGGGCCUUGCUGAGGACGGGCCGCGUGUUUACGCCCAGAGCACCCACUCUGUGCCAAGCCCUGUGUCACAAGAUUCCAUGUGCUCCAGCAGCAACAAAGAGGAGACCCUAGCGGAUGGAUGAGCCAGCACUUUGAAGAGCUGGGUCCCGAUGCCAACAAUAAGAGGCCCUAGAAGUUGACUGAGGACGCUGGUAGAGUACCUGUUCAGCACCGUCUUACUUGAUGUGUGGCUUCAGGUUGUCCAGAUAUAAAGUGGGGUAAGUACCUCUGCUCUGCCUGCGCCCCAAGGUGAUUGUAAGAAUCCAGAAUGUGAAAGUGUUGUGCAAAUUGCCAAUUCUGGGGAACACGGAGAUGACAGCCCACUUCUCUGUCCGGGAUGCUGCCGGAAGUGUGGUCAGUGGUCACAUGGCCUCCAGCUCUCAGCCCCUGUAGCCGGGCUCGGCUGCAGAUAGCCACCUCGCCCGAGGUUGUGCCCUCCCCAGGGCAGCCUGCAGCCAGGGGACGAGACAGCAGGGGGCACAAAGACCCAGCCAUUUGGGUCCACAAGGGACACUGUUGGGCACUGGUUGGGCCUGUACCAUCAGACCUGCAUCGAGGUCUGUCUCUGCCCCCUACCUCCUCCCCCCCUCUUUCCUCUCACACGUGUUGACCCCUCGUAACACCUUGCACCCCAAACUUCAUCCCCAACUGCUUUCGGGGAACCCUGCCUGCAAAAACUAUGUAAGAAGCUUGUCUUGCUAACACCACUAUCCUCAUUACACAGAGAAGGCAGCCCCUGGGGCCCAAACCACCCACCCCUGAAAAACAGGCCCUUUAACGGCGGCUCAGAUUCCCAGAAAUCCGGAAAUACAGUUCAGCUGGGAGGGAGGCUGUCCAAGUUGAGUUUUGUUAGAGUUGCAGGUGAAGCUACAAUGCGGGAUAGAAGGUGUGUGGAGCUACAAAGCUAAUACGCACCUCUUUCCAGAAGGCCCUACUCAGGGAGCCUGGGCAGUGAGUGUGUCCCACGGCAAUGGCCAGUCCUCGGUCCCUGGGCAAACCCCCACCUCUGCUGCUGUCAGUAGAAUCUUCACAGCUCGCGGCGAAGUGGGGAAAGUUGGACAGAGCGCUGGAUCUUAGGGGAGAGAUCAUGCUGGUCAUAAUUGUCUGCGGUUAGUAUGACUACACCAUGCUGAGAAUAGAGGGUAGCUUGUUAUCUCUUUCGAUCGCUUCACUUGGCCAAAGCGGCUCCACCCGGAAAUCUAGGUCUGAGGGCCACUGACGGGUCCCAAAUCACCUGAGCGGGCUUCCUGUCCUGCUGGCCGAGAGGUCUGACCGCAGGCAAAGACCAGCAGCCUGCUGACCUUGGCCUAGCAGACAAGGUGGGCACCUUGGCCGUGGUUGUGUCCAGGACGGCCAAUGGCUUGCCGAUCAUCCUUCUUGGGGCCUCAGCCCCCUCCAAAAAUUGAGCUGCAGGUGGGGUGACCUCAGGUCCCUUCCUGCCUUUAAGAUGCCCACAGUGAGAUCCUCAGAGGAGAAUUCCAGAAGGAGGGGCCAGUAAGGACCGGCAGGCUGUGGGUGUCUGGCCCUCAGCCCCGUGCUUCAGGUCCCGCCAGAGAAGGAAUGAGGGCCAGGUGGGUCAACGGCACCCCCGCGUGAGCGGUGAGCCCCCAUCAUCACUCCUGGACUAAUUGCCACCCCACCCGCCCGCCAGGUGCCCGCCCGUGUGUCCCCAGCUCUGGGGCUGCUAUUAACGACAUGUUGCAGCAGCUUUACGAAGCGUGGCUCGGAACAAUUUUACACCUCAUUUGAUUUAUGUUCCCGGAUUCGCUCCUCUCUCAGAGACUCCCUCCCUCUGGAGAGACAGCAUGUGUCAUCCGCUCCGGCUCUCCUGCGUUCCCACAGAGCCAGUCUCUGUGUCAGGAAGGGCCGGCCUCAGACCCUAGGUCCUGAGCAAACAAUCCCGUGACCUGGCUCUUCCUCCAGGGCUUUCUUCCAGAUGUGUGUCCCUGAGCCGGGACACCUGUGACUGAGGCCUUCGGAGGUGGGCUUAGCCACGACAGAAUCCCAGAGCAACGAAAGUCCUUGGGGAUUGGUUACCAGCACACCCGCAUCUUACAGAUGGGGAAACUGAGAGGUGGAAAGAGUCCUCGGUGUCUUCAAGACCCUUCUGAAGGUCACAUGGCCAGUCUGUGGCAGACGCCUGCCUCCCCUCUCAGCAGUAAAGAAGGCUGGUCCUCACAGGGAGUCACCAGGUCAGCUGUGAGCCAGCCUUCCCGCCAGUAGGACCUGCUGGACUGGACUCUUUGUCCAGACAGUGUCCUUGACGUAGGCUGAAGAAAUGGACGAGCAACAGGGCCAUCUGGUCCACCUCCCUCAUUGCAGAGGGAAGGCAAGGAGGAUGGGAGAGGAAGAGUGAUUCCCUGCAAAGCACACAGCCAGUAGGAUGCAGGGUGGGCUAGAAUGCUGGCUUCACGACCCUGGGAUCUUAUCCCCUUCUCCCUAAGAGGCAAGAACGUUCCUACAACCACGUCUUCUCAUUCACUCACUUUUGAACCGAUGCCUCUCAGGAACCAGGCUUGGUGUUAAGCUCAGAGGACGCGAGGAUGGACCAGACAGAGAAGCACCCGGCUGUCCCAGCCCAGUGUAGUGAGGCCGCGAGGGAACGUGUGGGCCCCAGCAGUGGACCCCUCCCUCUGCUCAGCGAACUCCUGCCAUGGGGAAUGUUGCUUGCAGGGGAACCCACUGCCCACCACAGAGGCCGGUAACCCGUAAUCCCAGCCGCCCUUGAGAUAUGUGAACAAGGUUUGACCCGUUAGAUAUACCCGUCCCAGGUUAUACUCAAGCUGGUGACAUGAAGACAGAGGGGACAAGGAUAUUCUCUGUGGCCACAGGGCUGGGGCAGCUGCACUAAGAUCGAGUGCCCAGAGGCAGAGGUAAUACUGGUGACAUGGGUGGUGCGGGCCACGUGUCCCCGCAGCCAGUUCUGGCUCUUCGUGAGGGUGAUAGUUCCCACUAGCAGGAUACCCCGACCCACCUGGAGGACAGGGGAGGCUCUCCGUAUUCAUCAGAGAUAACUUCUGAUUUUGGAAACUUUCAAAUCUAUACGAAAGCAGAAUAGCACCAAGAGCCCCCACGUGUCCAUUGCCAAGCUACGAGAUUCACCAACAUUCACCAUUC
Molecule: long non-coding RNA, 5052 nt
Organism: Acinonyx jubatus (cheetah)
Lineage: Eukaryota; Metazoa; Chordata; Mammalia; Carnivora; Felidae
Exons: 6
Source: RefSeq, a predicted model, not a curated record